CAGCCGCCUCGGGAAUACGGAGGGUGCAAGCGUUAAUCGGAAUUACUGGGCGUAAAGCGCACGCAGGCGGUUUGUUAAGUCAGAUGUGAAAUCCCCGAGCUUAACUUGGGAACUGCAUUUGAAACUGGCAAGCUAGAGUCUUGUAGAGGGGGGUAGAAUUCCAGGUGUAGCGGUGAAAUGCGUAGAGAUCUGGAGGAAUACCGGUGGCGAAGGCGGCCCCCUGGACAAAGACUGACGCUCAGGUGCGAAAGCGUGGGGAGCAAACAGGAUUAGAUACCCCAGUAGUCCCUGUCUCUUAUAC
Molecule: ribosomal RNA, 301 nt
Filed under: uncultured bacterium
Lineage: Bacteria
Description: partial 16S ribosomal RNA
Rfam family: Bacterial small subunit ribosomal RNA
Source: RNAcentral